UGCCGCGGCUGAGGGCUGUCGGGCCGCGGGCUCAGGCUCAAGUCCAGGCCGGGCUCGGGCACUGGGGCUCGGAGUUGCGGGACUUGGGGCUCCGGGGGUGGCCCCGGGACCGCCGCGGCUUCUUCCCCGUCCGCCGACUUCAGCUCUGACUCCCCACAACCCAUCAUCAUCUUUGGAGGAAGUGCUGUGGAACAUCAGAUAGAAUGGAUAGCACAGCCCAAAUUUUACAAAAAGGAUUUUAAAGGAAGAUCUCAAUGGUGGAACACUAGAGGCUUUCCUGCUAAAGUUAAGAACAAGCAAGUAUGUCUAUUAUCUCAUUGUUCAAUUGUGAAAAGAAAUAGCGAGGUACAAAUAUAAAUUUUUAAACUGGGAGUAUAAAUUAAAAAUUUUUAAUAGCGACAUAGGAGGGAGAGAAUAGAAUGAAAGACAAACAGUCUUAUUCCUCCAAAUAUACUUUGUUUUGUAUAUUUGACUUUGGAAAUGUAUGCAUUUUAUAUGAUUAUAUUAAAAGGUUUUAAAAAAUCAGGCCAGGCACAGUGGCUUACACCUGUAAU
This 554-nucleotide long non-coding RNA is filed under the name Homo sapiens (human). RNAcentral describes it as "HSALNT0126394". The record is from RNAcentral. Lineage: Eukaryota; Metazoa; Chordata; Mammalia; Primates; Hominidae.